AUAAAUAUUAAUAAAAACAGUUGUGAAUUUAUUUUUAAAUAGAAGUACUAGUACGCGUUUUACAAUAAUUAUUUUAGUUGAUUUUGUAAUUUCUACUUGAAAAUUUGCUUAAAUGUAUGCAACUAACAUUGCAGAACAAAAAGGAAGUGACAUUUUUUAUGCUAAUGAAAAUUUAAUCUCUUACGUUGUGUUAAUAUAUAAAGAAACCGGUCCCAAAAUCGUUUAGUCGAAUAUAGAUUGUUCAUAUUACUAUAAUAUUAUUAUGUGGUAAAGAUAUAAAUAUAUUCUGACGUCACACAAAACGUUAUUGAUGUCAACAUUAAAAAACGCCUGAUGGCGUCGCAUUUCUCUUUUGUUCUGUAAACAAACGAUGGAAAAAAAUUUUCCCUGUUCUAUCCUUUCAAGUGUCGAACCUUGAGGUACACACACGAUAUAUUUUUUAGUUUGAUUUUUUUCAUAAGUGAAUAAUCAAACUAAAAUAGCGCUUUACUACAAGGCAUCCUGGUUUUAGGCCUUCUCCUACUUUUGCUGUUACCCUUUUUUUAACUGAAGCUAAAGAAAGCGGUGGAAUGGUUACUGGUCUCUACUAAUUAAAGAAGAAUCAACAGCCAUGGACAAAACGGUCAAAAGCAGGGGAUGGCCUUUAACAGGUGCUAAGUGUAACAUCAAACCAUUACUAUUUGAUCUCGAGGAAGCACUUUCUGUAGAGAACACCUACAGGCCCAGUGUAUUAGCAAUUCAAUAUAACGUUAAACCAGGAGAAGUUACUCUCAAGUCCAGGGAUGGUAUUGUACAUCUUCUUCGUUUCCUGAAGUCUUGGUUUGAUACCCCAGAACAAGUCUUUUUUGUAGCCGUCGGCUAUCUGGAUGCAUUUAUAGCACGUAUAAAGGUACCAGAAAAGUACUUGAUGUGUCUUGCAUUUGCUUGUUUCUUCAUAGCUGCCCGUGAAGAGCAACUUGACAUUCCUUUAAGCACUCUGAUCUACAUGGCUAGGUGCAAUUUUACUUUCCAAGACGUACUAAGAAUGGUGGACGUUGUUACAAACAAGCUCCAAUUAGGGUCCAAAAUCACUACUAUUGGAGAUAUUCUUCGGCUGUAUAUCCAGUUUUUAGGAAGCUGUCACUCAACCGUAAGUGAAAUUCUGGAUGAAGAAGAGUUGUUGACCAAGCUGGGGGUUCUGCUGACUGACAGCAGCUGUGCAUUUUUCAGACCAUCAGUGUUAGCCUUCACACUUUUGAGAUUUGAAGUUGACAAGCAACUAUCUCAUACUAUUAACAAAACAGCAAGUUUUGGUGACGUCAUCCAUACAUUAGCUGUGAUGAAGGAGUUACAACUGAGAUGUGAGCUCUAAACAGAUUAGCGGUGGUCUAUUGAUACCACUCCCGGAGAUUUCGGAGCCAGGAUGUUCUUUUUCGGCCUGGGCCACUUCUUCCGGUGAUCUUGUGCUGUAUUAUGAGAUGUAGGUGAUACGUUAUACCUCUCUGGAUGUCUCAUUACAUGGCCGAAAUAAUACAUCAGCUGCUGACUUGGUUAGUUGUUCCCAAUUCGCAUCCAAAGUGUUAAAACGCUACAACAACCAUGAACCCUGCGGAAACAAUGCGUACCUGAAAUGGAACUUUUUUCCAUCAUUCCGUAGACGUGACCGCUCCUCCCGAUCGACCCUGAGUGUAAUCAAUGAGAAACCUAAUGGGCAAAUCAAAAA
RNAcentral lists this unclassified non-coding RNA (1702 nucleotides) under Diabrotica virgifera virgifera (western corn rootworm). RNAcentral's name for it is "cyclin G". The record is from RNAcentral. Lineage: Eukaryota; Metazoa; Arthropoda; Insecta; Coleoptera; Chrysomelidae.